UGGGUGUUGCCGACACCGAGAAGCCAGCAGGUGCUGUGCUGGCUGGUGACAGCAAGCCAGGCAUCAAAACCUUCCAGCAAUCUCCGGUGACUGUAAUGAAGACAAGGGGUGGGAGGUGGACUCUGAGACCAUGAAGUUCACGGCCGGAAGAGUUUACAGCAACAACGACAGAGAAAGAAGCAGUCGUAGUGAGGGGACCAAGGAGGAACCCACCCCACAGCCACACCCACCAUCCAGAGGAAAAACUCACCAAGUGAACCCCCUACGAUCUGCUUGACUCAUCCACUGGAUAACAUCACAUCUACAAAACAGAAGGAUGCGCCACGAGCUAAGCCAACCGGAGAAGUUUUAUUGGCAGAAUGGCUGAAGAAAUCUGAAACAGAAAACCAAAACUGUGGAGAGCUGAUGCAGGUGGACUUCCCUGUCAUGCUGACUUGGACAUAUCAAGCCCCUUUAGAAACGUAUCCCAAAUCUCCUAUCUCCACCUUGAUGUGCACAGCACCUGUCCAAGCCACCAUCAGC
Microtus oregoni (creeping vole) is the source of this 522-nucleotide long non-coding RNA. RefSeq lists it as uncharacterized. The record is from RefSeq and is a predicted model, not a curated record. NCBI's taxonomy places the organism in Eukaryota, Metazoa, Chordata, Mammalia, Rodentia, Cricetidae. The transcript has 4 exons.